Molecule: long non-coding RNA, 407 nt
Organism: Helianthus annuus (common sunflower)
Lineage: Eukaryota; Viridiplantae; Streptophyta; Magnoliopsida; Asterales; Asteraceae
Exons: 3
Source: RefSeq, a predicted model, not a curated record
GGGAAACAGAGUUUCCUCAUCUCAACCCUAAUUUCAUUCUAUUACAUUCAAAAAUCAAAGAAGAAAUUCAAUUAGGAUUCAAUCCUAAGCUAGAAUCUUGAUCACUAACCUUAGGAGAUCAAAAGGCAAUUUGGGUGGAUCGUCUAGUAACCAAGGCGGAGCGGAUAAUCGGUUGAAAGGAAAGCUUUAAAGGUAACUAUAUUUACUAGACGGAUGGCGAUCAAGCAAAGGAAAGAACCGAAUACACACUUAAUUGAAGCUUCUGCGACUAAAUCACAACUAUUGUUACUAAACUCUUUGGGGUUGUUUUGUUCAACUUUUUAAAUAUUGAACUAAUGCUUUGCAAGUUAAGUAUGUAAUAGUAACAUAAAAUGUUCUAAAACUUUGUAAACUUGGUUUAAAGGUUA